AUCCCGUGAUGAGGGCAUUGUCUUUGCAAACCUAGAAACCUUCUCCAUGCUUCAUACAACGAUUCGUCGUCAGGUUGCUAAGUCAUUUCUCAACUUCGCGGUC
Molecule: small nucleolar RNA, 103 nt
Organism: Beta vulgaris subsp. vulgaris (sugar beet)
Lineage: Eukaryota; Viridiplantae; Streptophyta; Magnoliopsida; Caryophyllales; Amaranthaceae
Rfam family: Plant small nucleolar RNA R71
About the family: R71 is a member of the C/D box family of snoRNAs containing the C (UGAUGA) and D (CUGA) box motifs. Multiple nearly identical copies of this snoRNA have been identified in Arabidopsis, and it is thought to function as a 2'-O-ribose methylation guide for 18S ribosomal RNA.
Source: Rfam